RNAcentral lists this long non-coding RNA (654 nucleotides) under Salvia miltiorrhiza (redroot sage). RNAcentral's name for it is "long non-coding RNA (SMIL_LNC002243)". Lineage: Eukaryota; Viridiplantae; Streptophyta; Magnoliopsida; Lamiales; Lamiaceae. The record is from RNAcentral.
GAGCUAAUCGCAUCGGAUCGAGACCCCGACUGUUCGCCGGCCUCCCUACAGCAGCGGCGCUCGGUGCUUGGCAGCAGGUUUCAGGCGAGAAGCUCGCCUUGGUGCUCCACGAUCUGUUAAGUCGAGAGUGAGAGAGAUGUUGAGGGCUGAGCUCGUUGCCAGAGCAGAGGUCGAGAAGACAGACCGAUUUCAGGUUUCCGAGCAACGACCACUAACCGGAUUCUCAGAGACGACGGUGGUGAGUCGCCGGAUUUACAGAACCCACGGCCACGGCGGGAUUUUCUAGAAGGAGAUGAACUAGGGCUCGGGCUCUCCACCGAUGCUUCGAAUCGAGAGAGAGGAGACGAGGGAGCAGACCGGCGUCGGGAAGAACCGAGGCGACGACCGACUGGCUCGCCGGAUUGCGGGUGGCGGCGGCGGCGGAAGCCUCGUCUGAAGGCAGAUUGAGUUUGGGAGAGAUUGAGAGGAGAGGAGGCUGCGGGCGUGAGAUUGGGAGAGCUUAGAGAGAGAGACCGAGAUGUGAAGGAAUGGAGGAAUGGGCCUUUUCAAUUUAUUUUGCUAUUGGGCCUGUAUUAUUAAUAAAUCCCUUUCAUUUUUUUUAAGUGGGCUGAAACAAUAUAUAUUCUAUCCCCUUGGGCUUUAUUUAAAUCUUUG